This 694-nucleotide ribosomal RNA is filed under the name uncultured bacterium. RNAcentral's name for it is "bacterial SSU rRNA". It matches the Rfam family "Bacterial small subunit ribosomal RNA", at positions 32 to 715 of the family's 1533-position model. The record is from RNAcentral.
AACGCUAGCUACAGGCUUAACACAUGCAAGUCGAGGGGCAGCAUGAACUUAGCUUGCUAAGUUUGAUGGCGACCGGCGCACGGGUGAGUAACGCGUAUCCAACCUUCCGUACACUCAGGAAUAGCCUUUCGAAAGAAAGAUUAAUACCUGAUGGUAUGAUGAGAUUGCAUGAAAUCAUCAUUAAAGAUUCAUCGGUGUACGAUGGGGAUGCGUUCCAUUAGAUAGUAGGCGGGGUAACGGCCCACCUAGUCGACGAUGGAUAGGGGUUCUGAGAGGAAGGUCCCCCACAUUGGAACUGAGACACGGUCCAAACUCCUACGGGAGGCAGCAGUGAGGAAUAUUGGUCAAUGGGCGCGAGCCUGAACCAGCCAAGUAGCGUGAAGGAUGAAGGUCCUACGGAUUGUAAACUUCUUUUAUAAGGGAAUAAAGUCACNUACGUGUAGGUGUUUGUACGUACCUUAUGAAUAAGCAUCGGCUAACUCCGUGCCAGCAGCCGCGGUAAUACGGAGGAUGCGAGCGUUAUCCGGAUUUAUUGGGUUUAAAGGGAGCGUAGACGGGUCGUUAAGUCAGCUGUGAAAGUUUGAGGCUCAACCUUAAAAUUGCAGUUGAUACUGGCGUCCUUGAGUACGGUUGAGGCAGGCGGAAUUCGUGGUGUAGCGGUGAAAUGCUUAGAUAUCACGAAGAACUCCGAUUG